Molecule: ribosomal RNA, 496 nt
Filed under: uncultured bacterium
Lineage: Bacteria
Description: partial 16S ribosomal RNA
Rfam family: Bacterial small subunit ribosomal RNA
Source: RNAcentral
GAUGAACGCUGGCGGCGUGCCUAAUACAUGCAAGUCGAGCGAACGGACGAGAAGCUUGCUUCUCUGAUGUUAGCGGCGGACGGGUGAGUAACACGUGGAUAACCUACCUAUAAGACUGGGAUAACUUCGGGAAACCGGAGCUAAUACCGGAUGAUAUUUUGAACCGCAUGGUUCAAAAGUGAAAGACGGUCUUGCUGUCACUUAUAGAUGGAUCCGCGCUGCAUUAGCUAGUUGGUAAGGUAACGGCUUACCAAGGCAACGAUGCAUAGCCGACCUGAGAGGGUGAUCGGCCACACUGGAACUGAGACACGGUCCAGACUCCUACGGGAGGCAGCAGUAGGGAAUCUUCCGCAAUGGGCGAAAGCCUGACGGAGCAACGCCGCGUGAGUGAUGAAGGUCUUCGGAUCGUAAAACGCUGUUAUUAGGGAAGAACAUAUGUGUAAGUAACUGUGCACAUCUUGACGGUACCGAAUCAGAAAGCCACGGCUAACUACGU